UCCCCAGUAGCUCAGCGGUAGAGCGCUCGACUGUUAAUCGAUCGGUCGCAGGUUCGAAUCCUGCCUGGGGAGCCA
This 75-nucleotide transfer RNA is filed under the name Roseitalea porphyridii. RNAcentral's name for it is "tRNA-Asn". It matches the Rfam family "tRNA". From Rfam's summary of the family: Transfer RNA (tRNA) molecules are approximately 80 nucleotides in length. Their secondary structure includes four short double-helical elements and three loops (D, anti-codon, and T loops). Further hydrogen bonds mediate the characteristic L-shaped molecular structure. tRNAs have two regions of fundamental functional importance: the anti-codon, which is responsible for specific mRNA codon recognition, and the 3' end, to which the tRNAs corresponding amino acid is attached (by aminoacyl-tRNA synthetases). tRNAs cope with the degeneracy of the genetic code in two manners: having more than one tRNA (with a specific anti-codon) for a particular amino acid; and 'wobble' base-pairing, i.e. permitting non-standard base-pairing at the 3rd anti-codon position. The record is from RNAcentral. Lineage: Bacteria; Pseudomonadati; Pseudomonadota; Alphaproteobacteria; Hyphomicrobiales; Ahrensiaceae.